This 256-nucleotide ribosomal RNA is filed under the name uncultured bacterium. RNAcentral describes it as "partial 16S ribosomal RNA". It matches the Rfam family "Bacterial small subunit ribosomal RNA", at positions 524 to 776 of the family's 1533-position model. The record is from RNAcentral.
UACGUAGGGGGGCAAGCGUUGUCCGGAUUUAUUGGGCGUAAAGAGCUCGUAGGUGGUUCGGUAAGUCGGAUGUGAAAUCUCCAGGCUCAACCUGGAGGGGUCAUUCGAUACUGCCGUGACUAGAGGUCGGUAGGGGAGUGUGGAAUUCCUGGUGUAGCGGUGAAAUGCGCAGAUAUCAGGAAGAACACCCGUGGCGAAGGCGGCUCUCUGGGACGGUACUGACGCUGAGACGCGAAAGCGUGGGGAGCGAAACAGG